Molecule: ribosomal RNA, 1075 nt
Filed under: Salmonella enterica subsp. enterica serovar Infantis
Lineage: Bacteria; Pseudomonadati; Pseudomonadota; Gammaproteobacteria; Enterobacterales; Enterobacteriaceae
Also listed under: 1 other name
Description: partial 23S ribosomal RNA
Rfam family: Bacterial large subunit ribosomal RNA
Source: RNAcentral
AGACCCGAAACCCGGUGAUCUAGCCAUGGGCAGGUUGAAGGUUGGGUAACACUAACUGGAGGACCGAACCGACUAAUGUUGAAAAAUUAGCGGAUGACCUGUGGCUGGGGGUGAAAGGCCAAUCAAACCGGGAGAUAGCUGGUUCUCCCCGAAAGCUAUUUAGGUAGCGCCUCGUGAAUUCAUCUCCGGGGGUAGAGCACUGUUUCGGCUAGGGGGCCAUCCCGGCUUACCAACCCGAUGCAAACUGCGAAUACCGGAGAAUGUUAUCACGGGAGACACACGGCGGGUGCUAACGUCCGUCGUGAAGAGGGAAACAACCCAGACCGCCAGCUAAGGUCCCAAAGUCAUGGUUAAGUGGGAAACGAUGUGGGAAGGCCCAGACAGCCAGGAUGUUGGCUUAGAAGCAGCCAUCAUUUAAAGAAAGCGUAAUAGCUCACUGGUCGAGUCGGCCUGCGCGGAAGAUGUAACGGGGCUAAACCAUGCACCGAAGCUGCGGCAGCGACACUCAGGUGUUGUUGGGUAGGGGAGCGUUCUGUAAGCCUGCGAAGGUGGCCUGUGAGGGUUGCUGGAGGUAUCAGAAGUGCGAAUGCUGACAUAAGUAACGAUAAAGCGGGUGAAAAGCCCGCUCGCCGGAAGACCAAGGGUUCCUGUCCAACGUUAAUCGGGGCAGGGUGAGUCGACCCCUAAGGCGAGGCCGAAAGGCGUAGUCGAUGGGAAACGGGUUAAUAUUCCCGUACUUGGUGUUACUGCGAAGGGGGGACGGAGAAGGCUAUGUUGGCCGGGCGACGGUUGUCCCGGUUUAAGCGUGUAGGUGUGUGUUCCAGGUAAAUCCGGUUCACUUUAACACUGAGGCGUGAUGACGAGGCACUACGGUGCUGAAGCAACAAAUGCCCUGCUUCCAGGAAAAGCCUCUAAGCAUCAGGUAACAUCAAAUCGUACCCCAAACCGACACAGGUGGUCAGGUAGAGAAUACCAAGGCGCUUGAGAGAACUCGGGUGAAGGAACUAGGCAAAAUGGUGCCGUAACUUCGGGAGAAGGCACGCUGACAUGUAGGUGAAGUGAUUUACUCAUGGAG